CCAGACUCCUACGGGAGGCAGCAGUGGGGAAUAUUGCACAAUGGGGGGAACCCUGAUGCAGCGACGCCGCGUGGGUGAAGGAGCACCUCGGUGCGUAAAGCCCUAUCGGCAGGGAAGAAAAUGACGGUACCUGAAGAAGAAGCCCCGGCUAACUACGUGCCAGCAGCCGCGGUAAUACGUAGGGGGCAAGCGUUAUCCGGAUUUACUGGGUUUAAAGGGAGCGUAGGCGGGCCGGAAAGUCAGGGGUAAAAACCGGGGGCCAAACCCCGGAGAGCCGUUGAAACUGUCGGACUAGAGACGGCGAGAAGUACGCGGAAUGCGCGGUGUAGCGGUGAAAUGCAUAGAUAUCGCGCAG
This 355-nucleotide ribosomal RNA is filed under the name uncultured bacterium. RNAcentral describes it as "partial 16S ribosomal RNA". It matches the Rfam family "Bacterial small subunit ribosomal RNA", at positions 331 to 704 of the family's 1533-position model. The record is from RNAcentral.